GGUACCAUGACGAAGCCAAUCGCUUCAGGAAUGGCCAGGAUAAAGGACAGGAUCCAGAUGGAGACAAUUUCAAUGGCAGUUACCAAAGGAAUCCCAAUUCCCUGAACACGACUCCAGGAGGCAACUGCUCUGUACCUGAAAAAAAGGAGUUCCAGGUCUGGCCUCUGAAAGGAGCCUUGAGCCUGCUGGAGCAAAAACAGAGAGGACCCUGAGACUACAUGGAGGGGGAGAUGGGCUCUGCUGAGCUCAGACAUCCAGCUGUCCCUGCCAAGGUGCCAGGCAUGUGAGUGUUGGACCUCUGACACAAGCUCAGAGUCAGCUGAAGUCCACCAACCCCAGGUGACGUGACAAGGAGCAGAAGAAUUGCCCAAAUUCCUGACCUUCAACAUGGUGAGAUAUGAUAAAACGGUUGUUGUUCUGAAUUGCUAAGUUUUGGGGUAGUUAUCAAAGAGAAGUGGGGUAGCAAAAUUAACCAGUUGCCUGAUCUUGACAAUAGAAUAAGAUAAAAGAACAAAUAACUCAGUACGAUAGUGAACAGACUCCCAAAUAAGAUCCUAUUGCCCUAGCCAGCCUUGGACUUUGUCCAGUUCCCUGCUCAUGUCUUCUGGCUCAGACCCUUCCUCUGUGUCUUCACUAUUGUCAUGGUGCAAUAGAAAACCAUAACACCAGGAAAAUAAGGAGAAACCAAGUCCAACUCUAACAAAGAGGUUUUUCUGAAAACCACCUUCAUGUUUCUUGAGUUAGGAUAUACCUUUGAGAAUAUCACAGAGACCACUGAUCAAUUAUUUGAAAUGAUGGGUUCAAGAACUGACAUCAGCUUUUCAGCCAUAUAAAACAAAGCUGCCUCAUUAAUGGAUCUUUGCAACUUUUCCAAGUAUCUAAUAACACAUCACUCUGGAAUAGUUGUUAAAAGAGUUUUAUCUUUUUAUAGCCUUCUUCCCCAGGCAACUUUUAACAAGUUGGAUCUGUACCCAGACCUUUUUACUGGUCUGACCCCAUCAUCAUCAUCUUCCACUUUAACACGAUUUUGCAAAGAUCAACAGUGAUCCCUCCUACCCCUCUCCUGCUGCUGCUUUUUUUUUUUUUGCCUCCAAACAAACUCAAAGUAAUAUAUAAAACUUGUCACUUUCAGCAUGUAAAAAUAACUAUUUUAAUAGCUGGUAAUGGCUGGUUAUUCAUUUUUGUUGGGAAAAGUUUAUUCAUUAUAGAAGUAUACUGCCUUAGAAUUAAAAAGAUAAUUCAACAAGAAAGCUGGAUAGGGGUCAAAAUUUGUUUCUGAAUUUCUUCAGUUCCUGAUUUGUCUUUUUCUCAAAUGACCAAGGAUGUGAAACUAGAUUUGCGGAGGAAUUAUUCAAAAGGUUAAACUGAGACAAGUCCAUAGUUGAAAUUAGCAAUGAAAGCCUAUCCAUUCUGGCAGAAAUCAUGUGCUUUCUCUCAGUCCUGUUUAGCUUAUUCAGAUUAAAAGCUGAUAGUGAGAAAGCUAGAUAUUUUCUUUGAUCUUACAUCAUUCUGUAAUCAUUGAUUGACGAAGUAAUAAAGAAAUCCUAUAGAACUUGGAUGUAAGGUUUCUCUCAUUUUCUUUCAAACAACUCUGAAAUGUGAGAUAAUUAUGUUUUUAAAAUACUGUGUAAAAAAAUCAUGGGAACUCUUUGUCCUGGGCCAUAAUUUAUUCAGCUCAUAAAAUGAAAGCAGGGAUUCACAAACUGCAACAGGUUCCAAACUCCCUUUUCAUUCCUUGUUUCAUUUUAAAAAGUGUUUUUUAUUUUUUAUUUUUAUUUUUUUUUGUAGUAGUAGAAUAUAAUGCAACCAAAUUAAGAGUUAAAGCAAAUGGAAUCUUAUCUUCAGGAAUUAAGUGUGAAUGAUUCAUUCUCUCGUGUGAAAGCUUUUGAAAUAGAAAUGUCAAAUAGAUUCCCUACAUACAAGUCCUGAAGCUUAGGGUCAAUACCAAAUGAAAUGUAAAAAUAGUAAAGUGUGUGUCUAGGGAACAAAGAAUGAUUAGUUUAUUUUCAAGGAAAGACCUUUUGGAUUAAGGCUGAUUUUUGUGAGAGUGGAAUUUUAAAAUAGUUCAUUUCCUUGAUCUACAACUCAGAUCAAAUCUUAAUGAGAUAGAUUCUUGGCAUCAUUUUUUCUUACUUUCUUUUCUUUUUUUUCUUUUCUUUCUUUUCCUUCCCUCCUUCCUUCAGUCCUUCCUUUCUUUUUAACUAAGAAUGACUCACAUUUCAUUUGAUACACAACUAUUUAUCGUGAUGGAACAUCUUAUUUCUUUUUCU
Molecule: long non-coding RNA, 2270 nt
Filed under: Homo sapiens (human)
Lineage: Eukaryota; Metazoa; Chordata; Mammalia; Primates; Hominidae
Description: HSALNT0079099
Source: RNAcentral